CCCAGACUCCUACGGGAGGCAGCAGUGAGGAAUAUUGGUCAAUGGUCGGGAGACUGAACCAGCCAAGCCGCGUGAGGGAGGAAGGUACAGAGUAUCGUAAACCUCUUUUGUCAGGGAACAAAGGCGGGGACGUGUCCCCGGAUGAGUGUACCUGAAGAAAAAGCAUCGGCUAACUCCGUGCCAGCAGCCGCGGUAAUACGGAGGAUGCGAGCGUUAUCCGGAUUUAUUGGGUUUAAAGGGUGCGUAGGCGGUCCGUUAAGUCAGCGGUAAAAUUGCGGGGCUCAACCCCGUACUGCCGUUGAAACUGCAUCCCUUGAGUGCGCGAGAAGUAUGCGGAAUGCGUGGUGUAGCGGUGAAAUGCAUAGAUAUCACGCAGAACUCCGAUUGCGAAGGCAGCAUACCGGCGCGCAACUGACGCUCAUGCACGAAAGCGUGGGUAUCGAACAGGAUUAGAUACCCGUGUACG
Molecule: ribosomal RNA, 466 nt
Filed under: uncultured bacterium
Lineage: Bacteria
Description: bacterial SSU rRNA
Rfam family: Bacterial small subunit ribosomal RNA
Source: RNAcentral